Molecule: ribosomal RNA, 492 nt
Filed under: uncultured bacterium
Lineage: Bacteria
Description: partial 16S ribosomal RNA
Rfam family: Bacterial small subunit ribosomal RNA
Source: RNAcentral
AGUGAACGCUGGCGGUAGGCCUAACACAUGCAAGUCGAACGGCAGCACAGUAAGAGCUUGCUCUUACGGGUGGCGAGUGGCGGACGGGUGAGGAAUACAUCGGAAUCUACUUUUUCGUGGGGGAUAACGUAGGGAAACUUACGCUAAUACCGCAUACGACCUACGGGUAAAAGCAGGGGAUCUUCGGACCUUGCCCGAUUGAUUGAGCCGAUGUCGGAUUAGCUAGUUGGCGGGGUAAAGGCCCACCAAGGCGACGAUCCGUAGCUGGUCUGAGAGGAUGAUCAGCCACACUGGAACUGAGACACGGUCCAGACUCCUACGGGAGGCAGCAGUGGGGAAUAUUGGACAAUGGGCGCAAGCCUGAUCCAGCCAUACCGCGUGGGUGAAGAAGGCCUUCGGGUUGUAAAGCCCUUUUGUUGGGAAAGAAAAGCAGCAGGUUAAUACCCCGCUGUUCUGACGGUACCCAAAGAAUAAGCACCGGCUAACUUCGUG